AGUUUGAUCCUGGCUCAGAUUGAACGCUGGCGGAAUGCUUUACACAUGCAAGUCGAACGGCAGCACGGGGCAACCUGGUGGCGAGUGGCGAACGGGUGAGUAAUAUAUCGGAACGUGCCCAAUCGUGGGGGAUAACGUAGCGAAAGUUACGCUAAUACCGCAUACGAUCUACGGAUGAAAGCGGGGGAUCGCAAGACCUCGCGCGAAUGGAGCGGCCGAUAUCAGAUUAGGUAGUUGGUGGGGUAAAGGCUCACCAAGCCAACGAUCUGUAGCUGGUCUGAGAGGACGACCAGCCACACUGGAACUGAGACACGGUCCAGACUCCUACGGGAGGCAGCAGUGGGGAAUUUUGGACAAUGGGCGCAAGCCUGAUCCAGCCAUUCCGCGUGCAGGAUGAAGGCCUUCGGGUUGUAAACUGCUUUGUACGGAACGAAACGGUCUGCCCUAAUACGGUGGGCUAAUGACGGUACCGUAAGAAUAAGCACCGGCUAACUACGUG
RNAcentral lists this ribosomal RNA (499 nucleotides) under uncultured bacterium. Its description in RNAcentral is "bacterial SSU rRNA". It matches the Rfam family "Bacterial small subunit ribosomal RNA", at positions 10 to 507 of the family's 1533-position model. The record is from RNAcentral.